UACGGAGGAUGCGAGCGUUAUCCGGAUUUAUUGGGUUUAAAGGGUGCGCAGGCGGAGGUGCAAGUCAGCGGUCAAAUUGCGGGGCUCAACCCCGUACUGCCGUUGAAACUGCAUCCCUUGAGUGCGCGAGAAGUAUGCGGAAUGCGUGGUGUAGCGGUGAAAUGCAUAGAUAUCACGCAGAACUCCGAUUGCGAAGGCAGCAUACCGGCGCGCAACUGACGCUCAUGCACGAAAGCGUGGGUAUCGAGCAGG
This 252-nucleotide ribosomal RNA is filed under the name uncultured bacterium. RNAcentral describes it as "partial 16S ribosomal RNA". It matches the Rfam family "Bacterial small subunit ribosomal RNA", at positions 524 to 776 of the family's 1533-position model. The record is from RNAcentral.